UGAUAAAAUAAACGUGGGCAUCGCGGGACGGCCGAUAAGAGCGAAGCUCAAGUCAUAAUGCGUAAAUUUACAGUUUAGAAUUGAUUUAGUAAUUUCAUGGUAUAAUAUUGAAAAUGAAAAUAAAAUGGUCAAUAUCAGAGAAAUUAUAUUUAUUGCUAUAAAUAAAUACGGCGAGAUUGUCUUUUGUCGCGAACGUUCUCGUACACACGAUCGACGCGAAAUUUCAUGGGAGACAAAUAGCGGAGAGGGGCCCGAGUAUUGGAGUCGAUGCUACGCGCCAUCAAGAAAAUCAGAGAGAGCAUCAAAAAUCCAAGAUGGAAAAAAUGGAUUGUAGCCAAGGAAAUAGUGAUAUGACCGAAAAUAUAGAGCCGAAUAUAAAUCAGGGGAACACCAAGUCGGCCAAAGAAAGAAAUAGAAAAACCUCCGGAGGGUAAUAACGAAUUUGAAAAAGUACUAGUAACAUAUAAGAAACAAAUCGCUGAUCUCAAAAAAGAAAUAAAGAGAUUGAAAUACAGCAGAGGGGCAAGAGGAGGAAGAGGCAG
Non-coding RNA from Osmia lignaria (orchard mason bee), 542 nucleotides. The record is from RefSeq and is a predicted model, not a curated record. NCBI's taxonomy places the organism in Eukaryota, Metazoa, Arthropoda, Insecta, Hymenoptera, Megachilidae.